Molecule: non-coding RNA, 30 nt
Filed under: Halobacterium hubeiense
Lineage: Archaea; Methanobacteriati; Methanobacteriota; Halobacteria; Halobacteriales; Halobacteriaceae
Source: RNAcentral
GUUUCAGACGUACCCUUGUGCGGUUGAAGG